This 403-nucleotide ribosomal RNA is filed under the name Verrucomicrobiota bacterium. RNAcentral's name for it is "Verrucomicrobia bacterium partial 16S ribosomal RNA". It matches the Rfam family "Bacterial small subunit ribosomal RNA", at positions 355 to 776 of the family's 1533-position model. The record is from RNAcentral. Lineage: Bacteria; Pseudomonadati; Verrucomicrobiota.
UGGGGAAUAUUGCACAAUGGGGGAAACCCUGAUGCAGCGACGCCGCGUGAGCGAAGAAGGCCUUCGGGUCGUAAAGCUCUUUUAUGAGGGAAGAUAAUGACGGUACCUCAAGAAAAAGCCCCGGCUAACUACGUGCCAGCAGCCGCGGUAAUACGUAGGGGGCUAGCGUUGUCCGGAAUCACUGGGCGUAAAGGGUUCGCAGGCGGAAUAACAAGUCAGAUGUGAAAGGCAUGGGCUCAACCCAUGUAAGCAUUUGAAACUGUAAUUCUUGAGAAGUGGAGAGGUAAGUGGAAUUCCUAGUGUAGCGGUGAAAUGCGUAGAUAUUGGGAGGAACACCAGUAGCGAAGGCGGCUUUCUGGACUGCAACUGACACUGAGGCACGAAAGCGUGGGUAGCAAACAGG